This 253-nucleotide ribosomal RNA is filed under the name uncultured bacterium. RNAcentral describes it as "partial 16S ribosomal RNA". It matches the Rfam family "Bacterial small subunit ribosomal RNA", at positions 524 to 776 of the family's 1533-position model. The record is from RNAcentral.
UACGAAGGGGGCUAGCGUUGUUCGGAAUUACUGGGCGUAAAGGGCGCGUAGGCGGCCUUCUAAGUCGAACGUGAAAUCCCCGGGCUCAACCCGGGAACUGCGUCCGAUACUGGAGGGCUUGAAUCCGGGAGAGGGAUGUGGAAUUCCAGGUGUAGCGGUGAAAUGCGUAGAUAUCUGGAGGAACACCGGUGGCGAAGGCGACAUCCUGGACCGGUAUUGACGCUGAGGCGCGAAAGCCAGGGGAGCAAACGGG